GUGGUCCUCAAAUUAAUUAUCCAGGACAACAUUUGCUUGGCAUAGAACACUUCCCUGAAAACUUCCCUCGCGUAAGACAGCUGCUUCCAUCUGAACACUGGCAUAAUCAAGGGGCCCGUAUGACGCAUAUGGAUUACGACUAUUAUGGUCAAUACAGCUCAUGUGCAUCUAGUCCCCAACAUUUUCUAAGCACACAGUUGUCUACAAGGGGCG
This 213-nucleotide unclassified non-coding RNA is filed under the name Hevea brasiliensis (rubber tree). Lineage: Eukaryota; Viridiplantae; Streptophyta; Magnoliopsida; Malpighiales; Euphorbiaceae. The record is from RNAcentral.